UGCAGUCGAACGAUCUGCCCCGACAGAUACCUUCGGGUUGAAGACGGGAUCCAGAGAGUGGCGGACGGGUGAGUAACACGUGGAUAACCUGUCCUUAAGACUGGGAUAACCUGGCGAAAGUCGGGCUAAUCCCGGGUAAGCUGAGAGUGUGGCAUCACACAACCAGAAAAGGUGCUUAUGCAUCGUUUAAGGAGGGGUCCGCGGUAGAUUAGCUAGCUGGUGAGGUAAAAGCUCACCAGGGCGACAAUCUAUAGCUGGUCUGAGAGGACGAUCAGUCACACUGGAACUGAGACACGGUCCAGACUCCUACGGGAGGCAGCAGUGGGGAAUCUUCCACAAUGGGCGCAAGCCUGAUGGAGCAACGCCGCGUGAGUGAAGAAGGUCUUAGGAUUGUAAAGCUCUGUCCUUAGGGAAGAACCGUGGGUGUAGGUAAUGGCACCCAUCUGACGGUACCUUUGGAGGAAGCACUGGCUAACUACGUGCCAGCAGCCGCGGUAAUACGUAGAGUGCAAGCGUUGUCCGGAAUUAUUGGGCGUAAAGGGUACGCAGGCGGAUAAUCAAGUCAAGCGUGAAAGGUGUCGGCUUAACCGACAGACUGCGUUUGAAACUGAUUAUCUUGAGUGUAACAGAGGAGAGCGGAAUUCCUAGUGUAGUGGUGAAAUACGUAGAUAUUAGGAAGAACACCAGUGGCGAAGGCGGUUCUCUGGGUUAACACUGACGCUGAGGUACGAAAGCUGGGGGAGCGAACGGGAUUAGAUACCCCGGUAGUCCCAGCCGUAA
RNAcentral lists this ribosomal RNA (780 nucleotides) under uncultured bacterium. Its description in RNAcentral is "bacterial SSU rRNA". It matches the Rfam family "Bacterial small subunit ribosomal RNA", at positions 56 to 805 of the family's 1533-position model. The record is from RNAcentral.